Non-coding RNA from Choloepus hoffmanni (Hoffmann's two-fingered sloth), 118 nucleotides. NCBI's taxonomy places the organism in Eukaryota, Metazoa, Chordata, Mammalia, Pilosa, Megalonychidae. The record is from Rfam.
AAUUAUUUCAGAGAAAAUUGUUUACAUUAAAAACGGCUGAGAGUUGUUUGAACUGUGAUUGCCAAAAGAAUUGGAGGAUAAACAUUCAACUUGUCAAGAUUUCUUUGGAAAAAUCCCU